GACGAACGCUGGCGGCGUGCUUAACACAUGCAAGUCGAACGGAAAGGCCCUGCUUUUGUGGGGUGCUCGAGUGGCGAACGGGUGAGUAACACGUGAGUAACCUGCCCUUGACUUUGGGAUAACUUCAUGAAACUGGGGCUAAUACCGGAUAGGAUCUCCUGCUGCUUGGUGGGGGUUGGAAAGUUUCGGCGGUUGGGGAUGGACUUGCGGCGUAUCAGCUUGUUGGUGGGGUAGGGGAUUACCAAGGCUUUGACGGGUAGCCGGCCUGAGAGGGGGAGCGGACACAUUGGGACUGAGAUACGACACAGACUCAUACGGGAGGCAGCAGUGGAGAAUAUUGCAAAAUGGGAGGAAGCAUGAUGCAGCAACGCCGCGUGCGGGAUGACGGCCUUCGGGUUGGAAACCGAUUUCGCCUGUGACGAAGCGUGAGUGACGGUAAUGGGUAAAGAAGCACCGGCUAACUACGUG
RNAcentral lists this ribosomal RNA (468 nucleotides) under uncultured bacterium. RNAcentral describes it as "partial 16S ribosomal RNA". It matches the Rfam family "Bacterial small subunit ribosomal RNA", at positions 28 to 507 of the family's 1533-position model. The record is from RNAcentral.